This 75-nucleotide ribosomal RNA is filed under the name uncultured bacterium. Its description in RNAcentral is "partial 16S ribosomal RNA". The record is from RNAcentral.
CAAGACCUUGCGCUUUUAGAGCGGCCGAUGUCUGAUUAGCUAGUUGGUGAGGUAAAGGCUCACCAAGGCUCCGAU